This 253-nucleotide ribosomal RNA is filed under the name uncultured bacterium. RNAcentral's name for it is "partial 16S ribosomal RNA". It matches the Rfam family "Bacterial small subunit ribosomal RNA", at positions 524 to 776 of the family's 1533-position model. The record is from RNAcentral.
UACGGAGGGUGCGAGCGUUAAUCGGAAUCACUGGGCGUAAAGCGCGCGUAGGCGGCUUUUCAAGUCAGGGGUGAAAUCCCACGGCCCAACCGUGGAACUGCCUUUGAAACUGUAGAGCUUGAGUGUCGGAGAGGGUGGCGGAAUUCCAGGUGUAGGAGUAAAAUCCGUAGAUAUCUGGAGGAACACCGGUGGCGAAGGCGGCCACCUGGACGACAACUGACGCUGAGGUGCGAAAGCGUGGGUAGCAAACAGG